This is a long non-coding RNA of Paramisgurnus dabryanus, 1236 nucleotides long. RefSeq lists it as uncharacterized. NCBI's taxonomy places the organism in Eukaryota, Metazoa, Chordata, Actinopteri, Cypriniformes, Cobitidae. The record is from RefSeq and is a predicted model, not a curated record.
GGUAUAGAAAAUACACUGUUAAAUAUAAGAAUUCACACAAAAUUGUAUUUAUAUCUCAUAUGGUUACCUGAUGUAAAAAUGAGCGCUUCCCCUUUAAGAGUUGUGAUGUCACAUGUGACUUAACUUCCUGUGCUGCUACCUCCUCUUCCCUUUUGUACUGUUAUCUUGUGGAAGAGGUAGGUUUUUCUUUGGUCUCCUGAUAUUUUAUUUAUUUUUAAUCUUCUGAACUUAUAUUUUCACUUAAAUUAAUUUUGUAUAAUGUUAUUUUACUUAUCUGUGUGGUUAAUUGUGUCAUUUUAUACUUUUGAAUAAUAAUCUUAUCUUUAAGUGUGUGGAAGUAAGAGCACAUGGUGAUAAAUGUACAACAUGUGUAUUUUAGAAUCAAAAGGGCAUUACCAUCUAAAAGAGGCUGCUUAUUUGUUUCAUGUGUCAGGUAUGUUUGUUGUAUUUUUCCCUUUUGUACUGUUAUCUUGUGGAAGAGAAUCAAAAGGGCAUUACCAUCUAAAAGAGGCUGCUUAUUUGUUUCAUGUGUCAGGAAAUAAAAUGUUCUUGGAGAAGAACCAAAGCCUGCUGUCCUGUAUCUGAUUCAGUGAGAUCACAACGCAGAGUCCAGUUAAUUCACCGGUGUCGCCGGAUGCAUAUAAAGUUUGGCGUCGCGAGUCACCGGUUACACAAAACCUGAGAUGGAUCCAAAGAUGAAGAAAACAGGGUAGGCAUAGGAGUUUACAUACCAACAUUGAAUAUCAUUUCCAUGCUGCAUACUCCGAUACAGUAGGUGGCGGUAUGCACCUGAUAAGUCAUGGUUGCAAUCUGCCAUAAAACGAAAAAGAAGAAGAAGAAGAAGAAGAAGAAGAGUACGGCUGCGAGUGAUGUCAGCAGGAUCCGCAUGCUGGAUAAGAACAGCAUUUGUGAGACGACAUCAACUCAUCAUCCGAGUGGACAAGAACACCAACAGAGGAAGCCAAGCCGCAAAAACAAUGAAAAAUUGUCAUGACUUUUUAUUUUAAAUAAAAGUUAUGUGAUAAUAAACUUUAAGUGUUGGCUUAAUUAUAGUGUUUUAAAGAUGUUUUGAAAUAAGUUGUUUUAAAAUAAAAAUAACAAUAUUCUGUAUAUGGUAUUUACCCUAUAACAUUUAUAACAAGAGGUGAACAAAGCACCACUUUAGUUUACAGCCCGCAAAUAUGAGAGUUACCUGGAACAUACACAGAACAAGCGGGGAAUAAGCCCCACUUUAAU